GUCAACAUCCUUAACGAAUGUAAUCACGUUCUAACCUGUUGAACGUUAUCUUAGAUGACCGUAAGCACGCUUUCGGCACCUGAGCAACUUUCAGAGGCCAGACGGAUAGCCCAAAGGGUAUUCGUUGCAAUCCUCAGUCUCAAUCACCACAUCUACCAGAGGCUAUAACACUUCAACCGAAAUCGAAGCUACAUUCCGCCGGUCAUUUUAUGAUAAUCGAAACUGACGUUGGCCUACCAUACGAAAAAGUACACCCAAAACGCACAAACAUGCAAACAGCGAGGCCGAAACUCACGCACGCCCACAAGUUCGCACACGAUAAGUUGAUUUCUCGUCGGUACGACUGACUUCAAUCGUUUCCCUUUCAA
This 368-nucleotide ribosomal RNA is filed under the name uncultured Glomeromycotina. RNAcentral's name for it is "partial 28S ribosomal RNA". The record is from RNAcentral. Lineage: Eukaryota; Fungi; Glomeromycota.